RNAcentral lists this ribosomal RNA (468 nucleotides) under uncultured bacterium. RNAcentral describes it as "partial 16S ribosomal RNA". It matches the Rfam family "Bacterial small subunit ribosomal RNA", at positions 28 to 507 of the family's 1533-position model. The record is from RNAcentral.
GACGAACGCUGGCGGCGUGCUUAACACAUGCAAGUCGAACGGAAAGGCCCUGCUUUUGUGGGGUGCUCGAGUGGCGAACGGGUGAGUAACACGUGAGUAACCUGCCCUUGACUUUGGGAUAACUUCAGGAAACUGGGGCUAAUACCGGAUAGGAGCUCCUGCUGCAUGGUGGGGGUUGGAAAGUUUCGGCGGUUGGGGAUGGACUCGCGGCUUAUCAGCUUGUUGGUGGGGUAGUGGCUUACCAAGGCUUUGACGGGUAGCCGGCCUGAGAGGGUGACCGGCGACAUUGGGACUGAGAUACGGCCCAGACUCCUACGGGAGGCAGCAGUGGGGAAUAUUGCACAAUGGGCGGAAGCCUGAUGCAGCAACGCCGCGGGCGGGAUGACGGCCUGCGGGUUGUAAACCGCUUUCGCCUGUGACGAAGCGUGAGUGACGGUAAUGGGUAAAGAAGCACCGGCUAACUACGUG